RNAcentral lists this ribosomal RNA (253 nucleotides) under uncultured bacterium. RNAcentral's name for it is "partial 16S ribosomal RNA". It matches the Rfam family "Bacterial small subunit ribosomal RNA", at positions 524 to 776 of the family's 1533-position model. The record is from RNAcentral.
UACGUAGGGGGCAAGCGUUGUCCGGAUUUACUGGGCGUAAAGAGCGUGUAGGCGGCCAAACAGGUCCGUUGUGAAAACUGGAGGCUUAACCUCCAGACGUCGACGGAAACCGUAUGGCUAGAGUCCGGAAGAGGAGAGUGGAAUUCCUGGUGUAGCGGUGAAAUGCGCAGAUAUCAGGAAGAACACCAAUGGCGAAGGCAGCUCGCUGGGACGGUACUGACGCUGAGACGCGAAAGCGUGGGGAGCGAACAGG